Molecule: ribosomal RNA, 408 nt
Filed under: Actinomycetota bacterium
Lineage: Bacteria; Bacillati; Actinomycetota
Description: bacterial SSU rRNA
Rfam family: Bacterial small subunit ribosomal RNA
Source: RNAcentral
UUCACGGAGAGUUUGAUCCUGGCUCAGGACGAACGCUGGCGGCGCGCUUAACACAUGCAAGUCGAGCGAGAACCGGACCUUCGGGUCCGGGGACAGCGGCGAACGGGUGAGUAACACGUGGGUAAUUUGCCCUCGGUUCUGGGAUAGCCCGGGGAAACCCGGAUUAAUACCGGAUAGCCUCUCGAGCUCUCGGGCUUGAGAGGAAAGGUAGCUUCGGCCUCCGACCGAGGAGAAGCCCGCGGCGGAUUAGCUUGUUGGUGGGGUAAUGGCCCACCAAGGCUACGAUCCGUAGCUGGUCUGAGAGGACGAUCAGCCACACUGGGACUGAGACACGGCCCAGACUCCUACGGGAGGCAGCAGUGGGGAAUCUUGCGCAAUGGGCGAAAGCCUGACGCAGCGACGCCGCGU